CUGCACUCACUACACACACUGCAUUCAUUAUACACACUCUGCACUCACUACAAACACACUACAUUCACUAUACACACUCUGCACUCACUACAUUCACUAUACACACUUUGCACUCACUACAUUCACUAUACACACUCUGCAUUCAUUAUGCACACACUACAUUUAUUAUACACACUCUGCAUUCACUACAAACACAGUACAUUUAUUAUUCACACUGCACUCACUACAAAACACACUACAUUCAUUA
Non-coding RNA from Pelobates cultripes (western spadefoot toad), 247 nucleotides. The record is from the annotation of a GenBank genome assembly. Lineage: Eukaryota; Metazoa; Chordata; Amphibia; Anura; Pelobatidae.